UGAGAAACUUUCAAAAACAAUUCUUGGGUUAACAGAAGAACUUGCUGUUGUCACCAGCUGUCACGAAAAUCGUAGGUUAUGGCAGGAAAGCCAGUCCAUAAAGGGAAAUAACUCUUCCUGUUCAACAGAGAACAUAGAGGAAGUUGAUAGAAAUCUAACGGCAAGUAAGGACAUGAUUUCUUUACACUUGCCACAUACAACAGACGUGUGUGCCACAGUUAAGAACUCCUCACUUACCAGUCCAGAAUAUAAAAGGCAUACGCCCAUAUCUGUGAGAAGCUGCAGAGACCAUUGAAGGAGAACAUGGCAACAAUGAAAGUUCUGAUAAUGGCAAAAAUGGACUGAAGCCUUGCUGUGUAAAAGUUAGAUAAACUGUUUGUUUUUUCCCUUGAGGAUGUGGUAAGAAUUUUAAAAAGAUAAGAAUAAUGAUAGAUAUCCUGAAAUGUAAAAUAGACUGAAAUCAUGGUCUAUUUCAUGACCUCUUUGAAAAGUACAUCCUUAUACUUUUGACCACUGAAAUUUUAACCAUUAGAAAUUGUAAUCUUUUAUACUAACCUAGCUGACAAUAAAAUAUUAUCUCUGUACUCAGUGA
Molecule: long non-coding RNA, 592 nt
Organism: Ylistrum balloti
Lineage: Eukaryota; Metazoa; Mollusca; Bivalvia; Pectinida; Pectinidae
Exons: 2
Source: RefSeq, a predicted model, not a curated record